RNAcentral lists this transfer RNA (110 nucleotides) under Annulohypoxylon truncatum. RNAcentral's name for it is "tRNA-Leu". It matches the Rfam family "tRNA". Rfam says of the family: Transfer RNA (tRNA) molecules are approximately 80 nucleotides in length. Their secondary structure includes four short double-helical elements and three loops (D, anti-codon, and T loops). Lineage: Eukaryota; Fungi; Ascomycota; Sordariomycetes; Xylariales; Hypoxylaceae. The record is from RNAcentral.
GGUUGUGUGGCCGAGUGGUUAUGGCGCUGCGUUCAGGUUUCAACUUGAAUUUACUCUCCAGUAAUAUCGCAGUGGAGCAAUCCUCGUGGGUUCGAGUCCCACCGCAAUCA